UCUUCGUAUUCGUCGAGUUCUUCGCCAUCGUAUUCAUCCUCGCUUCCCACUUCGCUCCCAGAUAACUCAGCCUCGUUUUCCAUGAAGUCCUGCAAUAUGCUGAAUGGUUCAAGGGGGAGAUGGGAAGAGGAAAACAAGUAGAAAUUAUGGGAACUGAGUGCCUCAAGAUCUUCUGGAUUCACGUGAAGAUUCUUUGUCGCCGACCUCUGGUUCUUUUCCAAGUUAAAUCGACUCUUCAUCUUGAGAAAGGGGAUCCCCACCUUCUUCCUCCUCCUCCUCCAAGCCGUUCUCGAAGAGGUCUUUGUCAGUCAAAAGGCACCCGCUGUCAUUGAACGAAAGCUCCGUGCCGUCCUCCUGGCAUCAGAGAAACAUAACUCAAGGCUCUAUAAACUGUUUUCCCCCAUUCAAUGUAUCAGCUGUGAGAUGUUCCCCAAGCAAGAGAUAUUUCAUCACCCAACCCCAUCUACAGUCUGAAGAAACACAUCGAAGACUAAUGCUAUAUAUGGCCACAGCAGCGAGAAUCAUCUCUUUUCGAAGAUGGAGAGAACCAACUCCCACGACACAGGAUUGGCUCAUAAAAAUGUAUGAACUAGCAGAAAUGGACAAAACUUACAAUGUUGAUGAAGGAGAAAAGCCCUAAUCAAUUUCAAGAAAGACUGAGGCCUAUUUAUUAUGUUUCUUCAGCAAAGAUGGUUUUUUGAAUUAGAAGAGUGCCAUCUCAUGGGGAAAGGGGGUUCAUUAUGUUCGCUGUGCCUGAUUAUUAGUUAUUGCUUGAGUUUUAAUGUAUUAUAUGUUUCAUGAUUUUGUUUAUAUAUUUUAAAUAAGCGCCCACUGUUAGCCCCAGCUCCUGCCAACCUAGCAGUUCGAAAACAUGCCAAUGUGAGUAGAUCAAUAGGUACCACUCCAGCGGGAAGGUAACAGCGCUCCAUGCAGUCAUGCCGGCCACAUGACCUUGGAGGUGUCUACGGACAACGCUGGCUCUUUGGCUUAGAAAUGGAGAUGAGCACCAACCCCCAGAGUCGGUCACGACUGGACUUAACGUCAGGGGAAACCUUUACCUUUACUAUUUUAUUAUGUAUCGUCCAUGUGAGCCACCCAGAGUCCCUUCAGGGAGAUGGGGUGGGAUAUAAGAAUAAAGUUGUUAUUAUUGUUGUUGCUAUUAUUAUUAUUAUUUAUAGGGUGCGUUCAUGGUUUUUCUUUCAGUGGGCAAAGGAUUUUAACUCUUCCCUUUUAAAUACCAUUAAUAUCUCAUUCUAUUUGAAUGUUUGUAUAUUUUUAGGUUUUAAACUGCAUUGCAUUUGGUUUUACUUUAAGCCGCUUUAAGUCUCUUUUGUAGAGAGAGAAAGGAGGGUAUAAAUAAAAAUAAUAGUAAUGUGGAAAACUGAGAAUAAAACCAUCAGGCACAGGAUGGAAAGCCCUUACACUAGGUACUUUACAUUUGUAGUCAAUGUUUAGUGGUUCUAGUAGUGGCAUGUUUUUUUUUAUAUUAGGAAAUGUGUUUCAAUUGUUUUAGUCUUUGUAUUUUGGUUUGCAUUAUUGCUUUUUAUAUCUAGUUAUAGAUUUUGUGUCAGUUUUUUAAAAAAAUAAAAAUUAUUAAUUAAAAACUGA
Anolis carolinensis (green anole) is the source of this 1608-nucleotide long non-coding RNA. RefSeq lists it as uncharacterized. Lineage: Eukaryota; Metazoa; Chordata; Lepidosauria; Squamata; Anolidae. The record is from RefSeq and is a predicted model, not a curated record. The transcript has 3 exons.